UUACUCGCUAGAAGCAGCGGGAGCGAGCGAUAGAGUGGCAGUUGGUGGAGGAGGUGGGGGUGGCGCGAAGAAAGAGGCGGAGAAAGAGAAGAUCGAUGAGCGGCGAAAAGUACACACGGAAUGCGAACAGCCGGCAAGCGAAAUUAUUAUUUUCGAGCCUCUUAAAACAGGGUGAAAAGCGAGAAAAAUAUCACAAGAAAAAACUAACUACACACGCACACACGUGCACGCACACGAAAGCCGAUGGAAAAACACAAUGGGCAACUAAGCCAAACCAAAACAACAAAACGAGCGACAAAUGCCGCUCGAUCAUAAUUGAAAAAUGCAUGCCAGCAACAAAAACAAUAACACAAGCACAACAACAAGAAGCAACAGCUAUGGGAAAACAACAAGGCGGAGAGAGAAAAAAAACAGCAGAUGCACAGCGCACCAACAAAUAAAUGCCAUCGCAUGCUUUUACCCGCUGGCGGAAGAGAGAGGGAGCGAGGGCGAGCGAGAGAGGGAGAGAGUGACACGCAAAGGAGUUGAAAUUUUAAAGGAAUUUUAUUUGAAAUGCAAACAAUGCAGCUCACACACACACACACACACGUGGGAACGAGAAGUGCAACAAAAUGGCAAUGAAACACGAGCAGCGAAAUGAGCAGAGGAAAGGCGGCGCAGCGGCAGCGGCGUCGGCAGAGGGUGCACAGGAAAAAACAAAUGCAUAAAUGCAAAAUAACACAAGUUUAAGGAAGGCUGACCAUUUUUGUAAGACUUCACAACCAAUCCGAUUGCAACCUAUCCGAGGCAUGUAACCCGUGGAAUAUGUGACAGCGCUGACAACUGCCGACGUCUUACUGGUCAUUUCGGUUACUUUCUGUUGAUGGAGCUGCCUUUUUUAUGGCCUUUUCAACGCUCGACUGAAUGAGUCACUGCGUGGCUCGCAAAGGUUUUUGUUGUUUUGUUUUUACUUUACUUUUUUAGGUAAUUGGCACUUUACCCAACCGAACUCCACCCGGGACCUGCGAUGAUGAUCUGCCAUCAGUGUCAGCUGUUCAACGCACCGAGAAGGGCAGCGGAUAAUGGCGAUGCGAUGCGGUGUGAAGGUGGAUGAAAUGGGGGGAAGGUUGAAACGAGGUUGGAGAGCUGGUUCCAUUCAACAAUGCAUAUGUCGCCCCGCUUGGUUAGCGUUGAUUUAUGGACAGAAAUGUACAUAAAUACGGGAAACGGAGUACGGACUACAGAAUAUACACAUAUGGAGGGCGGCGGCAUCUAAUAACCUCCACGAUUGCCCUUUUUCCCCCAAAAAGCCUCAAUCGACUGUCCACAAAGUUCAAUGACAGCCGCAGCAACGAAUCCCCAAUUGAGAAGUCCAGGGGGAAUGGGAAUGGGAAUGGUGCCGAGCAGACCCCACACAGAAUCCCAGUCCACCGGCCAUUUGUUGCUGUUAGUUUACGGCUCUUGUUUGCAUAUUUGCAUAGGUCUGUCCACCACUGCACUCCCAUUCGACAAUACAGGGAAAGAAACUAUCACCAGAGUGUAUUUCACUUGAGGGGAAUAUUUGCAUACAGCAAGCAGUAUACAAGGGAAAACCUAGGAGGAGUAUACUAAUAUGUAGUUCAGAUGGUUCAACAGCUUUUAUUGCUGACUUAUCCAGUGAUCGAAACCGGUUUUCAUCCAAUCACAGCCAAAACCCAUUGGGAAUUAUAGCGUGACAGAGGCGGAAAGGAAUAAUAACAGAGAAAACACAACCAUUAAUCAAUUUUAAUUCAUACGUGCUAUCACAAUUGCAACCGAAAUAAUAUAGGAGCUAAUUUGAAUAACUUCUUUUGGGAUCAUUUUCAUUUGAUAUUGUAUUCUUGAUUCUUUUCUAAGCACUAUCAUCAGUUUGGACAAUUAUAGGUCCCCUCACAGUCCAGUGUCAACAGUCCAAAGGCAAAUAGAAAAAGGUCAGAACUGCGAGGAACCCUCUGAAACUCAUCAGGAAGCGGAAGGCGAAUGAAGAAACCCAUUAAAUCAACACACGCGAUCCUUGGGAAACAUCUGAUCCCACUUGAGAGACUUGCGAGAGGUUCGGAGGAACCCUUGUCACAGGAUGAAGACGAAGCGCGACUGGGGGCCCAGAGGAAAUCUGCGCUGAUGACCGAAGACCGCGCUCCGGCCUUGUGUGGCGCGUGCAAAGGAGCGGCCAGUGACGCGUGUCCUUAAAUGCAGCUGCCGCCUGUGGAGUACAAUCAACAAUAAAUCCGAGAUCCGAGAUCCGAGGCCUCGCCCCUCAGUCGCUUUCGGGGCAACUGCUGCUACGCACUCAGCCCGAACUCGUCGCCGUGCCCAUAUCACGGGGGAACCUCUAGACAAUGGCAGCCAGCAGACGUUGCACCUGCCACCGAGCACACAAUGCAAAGUGGCAGAAAGGAGAAGGCCCAAAAUACAGCACAAAAAAGGCCGAUGACGUUCGUCCGCUGUUUGAGUUUGGUUCCUUUUCGUCUUGCCCGCUUCUUCAACCCCUCUGAGUCACACACACCACACACCGCUGAUUAUGAGAUCAAGAUAGUCGCCGUCUCAGUCGUCGUAGACCCGGGAACAGAUGCGUUUUCGAGCACAUCCUCUAGCGGUGGUUGGUUAUCCCAUUUGCGCACAUUCAAGGCGUAGCCCAAGUACACUUUGAGAAACCCCCCUGACAAGGGCACAAGAAAAGCGCCUCAUCGAAUUUUUGAUGGC
Molecule: long non-coding RNA, 2700 nt
Organism: Drosophila biarmipes
Lineage: Eukaryota; Metazoa; Arthropoda; Insecta; Diptera; Drosophilidae
Exons: 3
Source: RefSeq, a predicted model, not a curated record